AGGACGAACGCUGGCGGCGUGCUUAACACAUGCAAGUCGAGCGGUAAGGCUCCUUCGGGGGUACACGAGCGGCGAACGGGUGAGUAACACGUGAGUAAUCUGCCCUUCACUUUGGGAUAACCACCGGAAACGGUGGCUAAUACCGGAUAUGACCAGUCCACGCAUGUGGGUUGGUGGAAAGUUCUGGCGGUGGAGGAUGUGCUCGCGGCCUAUCAGCUUGUUGGUGAGGUAAUGGCUCACCAAGGCUUCGACGGGUAGCCGGCCUGAGAGGGUGACCGGCCACGACUGGGACUGAGACACGGCCCAGACUCCUACGGGAGCAGCAGUGGGAUAUUGGACAAUGGGACGAAAGCCUGAUCCAGCAACGCCGCGUGAGGAUGACGGCCUUCGGGUUGUAAACCUCUUCAGUACCGUACGAAGCGAGACGUGACGGUAGGUACGAGAAGAAGACACCGGACCAACGUACGU
Molecule: ribosomal RNA, 468 nt
Filed under: uncultured soil bacterium
Lineage: Bacteria
Description: bacterial SSU rRNA
Rfam family: Bacterial small subunit ribosomal RNA
Source: RNAcentral